UUUUUUUGGGUUGUUAGAUCUAAGUUCAAAGUGUUUGAUUGCCAUUAAAUCUAGUCCAUGUCUUUUUGCAUUUUGAUUCAAGUCCUUUGACUUUUAUACUUCAAUUUUUACACCAAUUUUCCCUUUGAACUAAAAUUGAUUAAUUUAAAAAUAAUGAUUUCGUGCAUCUUUUUCCUCCUCAUUCAAAUUUUGACUUCUAAAUUUUUUUAUUUCAGUCAUAAGGCACCUGCAACAAUAAAAAAAAAUCAUCAAUAAACAAUAUAUCUAUCUAUACGGUAAAAACCCAUUUAACGAAUACACAAUUUUUU
RNAcentral lists this long non-coding RNA (308 nucleotides) under Prunus persica (peach). RNAcentral's name for it is "long non-coding RNA (PPER_LNC004897)". Lineage: Eukaryota; Viridiplantae; Streptophyta; Magnoliopsida; Rosales; Rosaceae. The record is from RNAcentral.